Fopius arisanus is the source of this 1161-nucleotide long non-coding RNA. RefSeq lists it as uncharacterized. NCBI's taxonomy places the organism in Eukaryota, Metazoa, Arthropoda, Insecta, Hymenoptera, Braconidae. The record is from RefSeq and is a predicted model, not a curated record. The transcript has 3 exons.
AGAGUUCUUCGCUAUGAAAAAAAAGAUUUGUAAAAAAAUGAGAAUAAUAAAGCAUCAUUCAUGACAACAGUAACAAUAUCAUGUAGAUUCUAGUCGGUCUCUCUUGAUUAUUUUGGUCAAAAAAGCAUUAGCAAAGCAAGGAGGAGCAUAUUCAGAAGCCAUCAUGCCGCUAAACCUGUCAAUGAACACAUAACUGAAAAGGGCCGAGUGAUUCAUGGUACAGCGAUGUCUCAAGUUAAAUUUAAUUAGCCAAAUUAUAAAGUAGAGGUUGAGUUGGGAGAGAAUCGAAAGAUUAAAAGGACCUUUUGUACUUGCCUUGCUGGACAGUCCCGGACAGUCCCGAAGAGGAGGCAAACACAGUGCAGCUGUUUGCAUUUUUGUGAACCAAGAGUGCACUAGUUCAAAAACUGAUGACCCUCAAACAUGGAAUAAACCUUCAGAAGUCCAACGUGAAAAGUAUAAAAAAGGCUGCGUAACAGACAAAUUGUUUCCUCAAAUAAUACGAGCUCUAGAUGAACAUUUCUCAUUCGAUGAUGCAACAAACGUACCUCCCGAAUUGUUUUCAAUAGAUUGUGCUUUUAGUAAAUAUUUACAAAUAGAAGAAAGAAUACAGGACAUACAGUUAAGCCAUCUUUGCGAAUGACUUUACGCCUUUAGCUCGAACUUUACUUACCAUUAUUUUGAAUUAAUUGUUGCUGUCGCUGGGCGACUAAAAUUUAAAAAACUUCAGUGCCCUAAAGAUUGCAAAGCUAAUUAUGAUUCAAUCAAAGUAACCAAAGAUGAUUGGAUUCGAAUUAUUAAGGAAUAUCAAGGUUAAUCGUCUUGUUUCCAAUGGCAUAAUGAGAGGUAUAAGAGAAUCACGACCUCAUCUCGAGCUCAUGGCGUAAAAACCCGAGUUGAAAAUUUUGAGAGCUUAGCGAAUCAGUUUAAAAAUGAAAAAUUUAAGGGGAGAAUGACUGAGGCAAUGGAGUAUGGGUUAAAGAUGGAAUCGAAAGCACGCGUUAAUUUUUAUUGAGCAGGGAUGAUUGAAAGUAGUGAAGGUAGGCUUAGUAAAAUGGAUCAACCUUUUCUAACGGCAAGUCCCGAUGGAGUGAUUUUGGAGGAUCAUUCAUUAUUGGAGAUCAAACGCCCUUAUUCCUGUAACCGUUACAUAUUCUUAGA